This 756-nucleotide ribosomal RNA is filed under the name uncultured bacterium. RNAcentral's name for it is "bacterial SSU rRNA". It matches the Rfam family "Bacterial small subunit ribosomal RNA", at positions 8 to 796 of the family's 1533-position model. The record is from RNAcentral.
AGAGUUUGAUCCUGGCUCAGAAUCAACGCUGGCGGCGUGCCUAACACAUGCAAGUCGCACGAGAAAGGGGAGCAAUCCCUGAGUAAAGUGGCGCACGGGUGAGUAACACGUGAAUUAUCUACCUCCGAGUGGGGAAUAACUGAGAGAAAUCUUAGCUAAUACCGCAUAACACUUACGAGUCAAAGCAGCAAUGCGCUUGGAGAGGAGUUCGCGGCGGAUUAGUUAGUUGGCAGGGUAAUGGCCUACCAAGACGAUGAUCUGUAUCCGGCCUGAGAGGGCGCACGGACACACUGGAACUGAAACACGGUCCAGACUCCUACGGGAGGCAGCAGUGGGGAAUUUUGCGCAAUGGGGGAAACCCUGACGCAGCAACGCCGCGUGGAGGAUGAAAUCCCUUGGGAUGUAAACUCCUUUCGAUAGGGAAGAUAAUGACGGUACCUAUAGAAGAAGCCCCGGCUAACUUCGUGCCAGCAGCCGCGGUAAUACGAGGGGGGCAAGCGUUGUUCGGAAUUAUUGGGCGUAAAGGGUGCGUAGGCGGUUUGACAAGUCUGAUGUGAAAUCUCUGGGCUCAACCCAGAGUCUGCAUCGGAAACUGUCGGGCUUGAGUAUGGGAGAGGUGAGUGGAAUUUCCGGUGUAGCGGUGAAAUGCGUAGAUAUCGGAAGGAACACCUGUGGCGAAAGCGGCUCACUGGACCAUAACUGACGCUGAUGCACGAAAGCUAGGGGAGCAAACAGGAUUAGAUACCCCAGUAGUCC